UCCAUCUCGCCGGUGCUAAAAUCUACUUCUGUUUUCCCACCUCUCACGUCUAAUACGGCCAAUUUUGUUGCUGGCCGUUUAUAAAAACCCUUUUGUGUUCUCACCACGGCUUGUCUAACUUGCCCGUCUUUUGCACGAACUACGGAUACUACUCGUCCCUUAGGCCAACAGUUACGCGUUUCCAGUGCGAAGUACUCCUUCAACGCCGUAUUUAGCAACUCUUCACUCACUCCAUCGCAUAAGCACACAUGGAAGUUCAAAUAUGUAGUUCCUGGAACAUUCUUGGCGAUUCCUAUCAGAAUUCGUGGCUGAACGGCAGUGUACGAGUCAAUCGGCAGGCCCUUUAAAUGCUCGUAAUUGGAUGACAACUGAGGUACUAACAACGACUGCUCAGAUAUGACGAUCUUCAGCCUUACCGAAUCAUUCUCCUGUCGAGUCACUCCGCCAGUCCAUUGCAGACAAAGGGGGGCAGGAGUAC
Anopheles merus is the source of this 478-nucleotide long non-coding RNA. RefSeq lists it as uncharacterized. The transcript is spliced from 3 exons. NCBI's taxonomy places the organism in Eukaryota, Metazoa, Arthropoda, Insecta, Diptera, Culicidae. The record is from RefSeq and is a predicted model, not a curated record.